This 334-nucleotide ribosomal RNA is filed under the name Diabrotica porracea. Its description in RNAcentral is "partial 12S ribosomal RNA". The record is from RNAcentral. Lineage: Eukaryota; Metazoa; Arthropoda; Insecta; Coleoptera; Chrysomelidae.
UUAAAUGUAAAAUUUUUAUUUAAUUAUUAUUAGUUAUAUUCUUUAAAAUUAAAAAUUUUGGCGGUAUUUUAGUCUUUUUAGAGGAACCUGUUCUUUAAAUGAUAAUCCACGAUUUUAUUAAUUUUUAUUAUUAAUUUAUAUAUCGUCGUAAUUAAAUAUUUUUUUAGAAUAAAAAUAUUUAAAAUUUUUAUAAAAAAAUUAAUCAGAUCAAGGUGCAGUUUAUAUAAAAGUAGAAAUGGGUUACAAUAAAUUUAUUUUUGAAUUUUAAAUAUUAAUAUUUAAAUGAAAUUGGAUUUAAAUGUUAUAUUAAUUAAUUAGUUUAUAUGAAUUUGGC